GAUGAACGCUGGCGGCGUGCUUAACACAUGCAAGUCGAACGGUGAAGGCGGAGCUUGCUCUGCUGGAUCAGUGGCGAACGGGUGAGUAACACGUGAGCAAUCUGCCCCUGACUCUGGGAUAAGCGCUGGAAACGGCGUCUAAUACUGGAUACGAGCUGCGAAGGCAUCUUCAGCAGCUGGAAAGAAUUUCGGUCAGGGAUGAGCUCGCGGCCUAUCAGCUUGUUGGUGAGGUAAUGGCUCACCAAGGCGUCGACGGGUAGCCGGCCUGAGAGGGUGACCGGCCACACUGGGACUGAGACACGGCCCAAACUCCUACGGGAGGCAGCAGUGGGGAAUAUUGCACAAUGGGCGAAAGCCUGAUGCAGCAACGCCGCGUGAGGGACGACGGCCUUCGGGUUGUAAACCUCUUUUAGCAGGGAAGAAGCGAAAGUGACGGUACCUGCAGAAAAAGCGCCGGCUAACUACGUG
This 468-nucleotide ribosomal RNA is filed under the name uncultured bacterium. RNAcentral describes it as "partial 16S ribosomal RNA". It matches the Rfam family "Bacterial small subunit ribosomal RNA", at positions 28 to 507 of the family's 1533-position model. The record is from RNAcentral.